Molecule: ribosomal RNA, 484 nt
Filed under: uncultured bacterium
Lineage: Bacteria
Description: partial 16S ribosomal RNA
Rfam family: Bacterial small subunit ribosomal RNA
Source: RNAcentral
AUUGAACGCUGGCGGCAGGCCUAACACAUGCAAGUCGAGCGGAUGUAGUUAGCUUGCUCCUGGAUUCAGCGGCGGACGGGUGAGUAAUUCCUAGGAAUCUGCCUGGUAGUGGGGGAUAACGUCCGGAAACGGGCGCUAAUACCGCAUACGUCCUGCGGGUGCAAGUUGGGGAUCUUCGGACCUCACGCUAUCAGAUGAGCCUAGGUCGGAUUAGCUAGUUGGUGGGGUAAAGGCCUACCAAGGCGACGAUCCGUAACUGGUCUGAGAGGAUGAUCAGUCACACUGGAACUGAGACACGGUCCAAACUCCUACGGGAGGCAGCAGUGGGGAAUAUUGGACAAUGGGCGAAAGCCUGAUCCAGCCAUGCCGCGUGUGUGAAGAAGGUCUUCGGAUUGUAAAGCACUUUAAGUUGGGAGGAAGGGCAGUAAGUUAAUACCUUGAUGUUUUGACGUUACCAAAAGAAUAAGCACCGGCUAACUUCGUG